GUGGGGAAUCUUCCACAAUGGACGAAAGUCUGAUGGAGCAACGCCGCGUGAGUGAAGAAGGGUUUCGGCUCGUAAAGCUCUGUUGUCGGGGACGAAUGUGCAGUAUUUGAAUAAAGUACUGUAAUGACGGUACCUGACGAGGAAGCCACGGCUAACUACGUGCCAGCAGCCGCGGUAAUACGUAGGUGGCAAGCGUUGUCCGGAAUGAUUGGGCGUAAAGGGAGCGCAGGCGGGAAGGUAAGUCGGUCUUAAAAGUGCGGGGCUCAACCCCGUGAUGGGAUCGAAACUAUCUUUCUUGAGUGCAGGAGAGGAAAGUGGAAUUCCUAGUGUAGCGGUGAAAUGCGUAGAUAUUAGGAGGAACACCAGUGGCGAAGGCGACUUUCUGGACUGUAACUGACGCUGAGGCUCGAAAGCCAGGGGAGCGAACGGGAUUAGAAACCCCAGUAGUCC
Molecule: ribosomal RNA, 450 nt
Filed under: uncultured bacterium
Lineage: Bacteria
Description: partial 16S ribosomal RNA
Rfam family: Bacterial small subunit ribosomal RNA
Source: RNAcentral